AUGCACGCUGGCGGCGUGCCUAAUACAUGCCAGUCGAGCUAACAGACGAGGAGCUUGCUCCUCUGACGUUAGCGGCGGACGGGUGAGUAACACGUGGAUAACCUACCUAUAAGACUGGGAUAACUUCGGGAAACCGGAGCUAAUACCGGAUAAUAUAUUGAACCGCAUGGUUCAAUAGUGAAAGACGGUUUUGCUGUCACUUAUAGAUGGAUCCGCGCCGCAUUAGCUAGUUGGUAAGGUAACGGCUUACCAAGGCAACGAUGCGUAGCCGACCUGAGAGGGUGAUCGGCCACACUGGAACUGAGACACGGUCCAGACUCCUACGGGAGGCAGCAGUAGGGAAUCUUCCGCAAUGGGCGAAAGCCUGACGGAGCAACGCCGCGUGAGUGAUGAAGGUCUUCGGAUCGUAAAACUCUGUUAUUAGGGAAGAACAAAUGUGUAAGUAACUAUGCACGUCUUGACGGUACCUAAUCAGAAAGCCACGGCUAACUACGUG
Molecule: ribosomal RNA, 496 nt
Filed under: uncultured bacterium
Lineage: Bacteria
Description: partial 16S ribosomal RNA
Rfam family: Bacterial small subunit ribosomal RNA
Source: RNAcentral